RNAcentral lists this ribosomal RNA (253 nucleotides) under uncultured bacterium. Its description in RNAcentral is "partial 16S ribosomal RNA". It matches the Rfam family "Bacterial small subunit ribosomal RNA", at positions 524 to 776 of the family's 1533-position model. The record is from RNAcentral.
UACGAAGGGUGCAAGCGUUACUCGGAAUUACUGGGCGUAAAGCGUGCGUAGGUGGUUCGUUAAGUCUGAUGUGAAAGCCCUGGGCUCAACCUGAGAAUGGCAUUGGAUACUGGCGAUCUAGAGUGCGGUAGAGGGCAGUGGAAUUCCCGGUGUAGCAGUGAAAUGCGUAGAGAUCGGGAGGAACAUCUGUGGCGAAGGCGACUGCCUGGACCAGCACUGACACUGAGGCACGAAAGCGUGGGGAGCAAACAGG